RNAcentral lists this transfer-messenger RNA (367 nucleotides) under Temperatibacter marinus. It matches the Rfam family "Alphaproteobacteria transfer-messenger RNA". Rfam says of the family: Bacterial tmRNA, also known as 10Sa RNA or SsrA, is named for its dual tRNA and mRNA-like properties. Its role is to liberate the mRNA from a stalled ribosome. To accomplish this part of the tmRNA is used as a reading frame that ends in a translation stop signal. The record is from RNAcentral. Lineage: Bacteria; Pseudomonadati; Pseudomonadota; Alphaproteobacteria; Kordiimonadales; Temperatibacteraceae.
AGACUUUAAAAUAUUCCUCAUCGGGCUUAUAUAGAGGCUGUCAGCUUGCUGACUAUGGCGAUAAAGGACGCAGUGAGUAACUAUUGCGGACCCGGGGGCGGUACCCGGCGCCUCCACCAAUAAGCGCUCUCUAAAUAGAGUGUUUAUUAUUGGGGGCGAAAUAGGAUCGACGUGUAACGAAAAGUGUUAGUCUUUCGCUCAGGAUGGUACCGCUGUAAUGGACCAAUUUUACAUAAAUGCUAACGACAAUGACGUCGAGUUUGCAGUAGCUGCGUAAUGCGGUGAAUGUGAACAACAUUUAUUAAAUUCCUGACCCUCGACAGGUCAGGUGGGGGCUGGUCCACCUAGCAACAGAACGGACCAUAUU